UUGAGGAAUUGUGGGUUGAUAGAAGAACGAUAGAAGAAACAUUUUAAGCAAACGAACAACAAAGAUUUAAUUAAUCAGCCAAUCACAAGUACCAUUUUUGACUGCAAACGGGCGGCAGAUCAAUCGAAAGACAUUCAUACUGUACUAUGCAUUGCUGUUGAGUUACUGUCACGUGGGGUAAACUAACGAUAGCAACAGAGGGUAAUACUGAUAGUGAUAGGACUCUGGCACCGGGAGAAGAUAAGUUGUAUCCGACCCCAAGGGUUAAAAGUUUGCAGAAGCUGCAAGGACCAUAUCAAGUUGACAAUGUCUGGGUCUGACAAAAAAGCUGUUAUCAAAAAUGCAGAUAUGUCAGAAGAAAUGCAGCAAGAUGCUGUUGACAUAGCAACCCAAGCACUGGAAAAGUUCAACAUUGAGAAGGACAUAGCUGCUUUUAUAAAGAAGGAGUUUGACAAGAAGUAUAAUCCAACAUGGCAUUGUAUAGUUGGACGCAAUUUUGGAAGCUAUGUCACUCAUGAAACAAAGCAUUUUAUUUACUUCUAUUUAGGCCAGGUUGCCAUUUUACUAUUUAAGUCUGGUUGAAAAGUUUUCUUUAAGCAUUCCUUUAUUUAGAUGUAAAUGUUUACUUAAGUAGCAGUGAAAGUAUUCAGUUGUUGCUGUUACUGGGCCAAGGUGUGCCAUGUAUUUACUUGUAAAUUCUGUUAUUUUUCUCAGUGAUUUAAGCUAUUUUAAUGAUUAAUAAUUUGUAAAGUGGUGUAAUUGAAUAUGUCUGAAGGGCAGUUAGUGCUGAAUUUACAUUGUUUCAUCAGUUUGUUGCAUUUCACUACAUAUGUACUGAGAUAUUUUGUUGGACACUGAAAAAAAUGACAUUACAUGUUAUAUGAGGUUUUUUUUGUGGUGUUUUUGAAACCAGUAGAAUGUAAUAGGGACAUUAGAACCUCAUUUCGUUAAAAACUAGUAUAAGACUCGCUUCUGUUUCCCCAGUUACAUAAAUUUUGUUGUAUGUAGUUUUUUGGAUUGUAAUUAAUUACUUGUGUUUGUAAUAUUUGAGCACUAAUAAAGCAAACUUAUAAAUAUAA
Long non-coding RNA from Limulus polyphemus (Atlantic horseshoe crab), 1079 nucleotides. RefSeq lists it as uncharacterized. The record is from RefSeq and is a predicted model, not a curated record. NCBI's taxonomy places the organism in Eukaryota, Metazoa, Arthropoda, Merostomata, Xiphosura, Limulidae. The transcript has 2 exons.